UACUUCCCUUAUCACGUAUUUCUUUUGUGAAGGUCCGAGACAUCGUGCUAAAGGUCCACCGAACAUCAUUCGGUAUAAGCUUCCACGAAUUAAGCAAUAUCGAGUGGGUUUUUGGUGAAGUAAUUGUGACUUCUUCUUGUCUUAGGGUACAAUUCCAUGCUGCAAAAGGUUAACGAAUUCAUUCCUCCAAUCCCAAGUUAGAUUAAAAUUUACCUCAUUCUUAUCUUGGUCAUUUGCCAAAUAAAACAAAUGUAUUACAAUAGCAUUUUCUCCAUUUGCUAUUUUUAUAACACACGCAAGAUUGGUCAACGCAUCUGUUUUUGCAUUCUACUCCCUGGGUAUUUGUAUGGCAUUCCAUGACUGAAAUUGUUUGAGUAAUUC
RNAcentral lists this long non-coding RNA (381 nucleotides) under Nicotiana benthamiana. Its description in RNAcentral is "long non-coding RNA (NBEN_LNC008564)". Lineage: Eukaryota; Viridiplantae; Streptophyta; Magnoliopsida; Solanales; Solanaceae. The record is from RNAcentral.